RNAcentral lists this ribosomal RNA (622 nucleotides) under Nannizzia gypsea. RNAcentral's name for it is "eukaryotic LSU rRNA". It matches the Rfam family "Eukaryotic large subunit ribosomal RNA", at positions 38 to 664 of the family's 3401-position model. The record is from RNAcentral. Lineage: Eukaryota; Fungi; Ascomycota; Eurotiomycetes; Onygenales; Arthrodermataceae.
GCAUAUCAAUAAGCGGAGGAAAAGAAACCAACAGGGAUUGCCCCAGUAACGGCGAGUGAAGCGGCAAAAGCUCAAAUUUGAAAUCUGGCCUCCUACGGGGGUCCGAGUUGUAAUUUGUAGAGGAUGCUUCGGGUGUGGCCGCCGUCUAAGUUCCUUGGAACAGGACGUCAGAGAGGGUGAGAAUCCCGUCUUGGGCGGCCGGUCCGCGCCCGUGUGAAGCUCCUUCGAAGAGUCGAGUUGUUUGGGAAUGCAGCUCUAAGCGGGUGGUAAAUUUCAUCUAAAGCUAAAUACUGGUCGGAGACCGAUAGCGCACAAGUAGAGUGAUCGAAAGGUUAAAAGCACCUUGAAAAGGGAGUUAAACAGCACGUGAAAUUGUUGAAAGGGAAGCGCUUGCGGCCAGACUCGGGGGCGGGGUUCAGCGGGUGCUCGUCGCCCGUGCACUCCCCGUCUCCCGGGCCAGCAUCAGUUUCGACGGCCGGUCAAAGGCCUCCGGAAUGUGUCGUCUCUCGGGACGUCUUAUAGCCGGGGGUGCAAUGCGGCCCGUCGGGACUGAGGAACGCGCUUCGGCUCGGAUGCUGGCGUAAUGGCCGUAAGCGGCCCGUCUUGAACACGAAAAUUAAUU